RNAcentral lists this ribosomal RNA (266 nucleotides) under uncultured Halomonas sp. RNAcentral's name for it is "partial 16S ribosomal RNA". It matches the Rfam family "Bacterial small subunit ribosomal RNA", at positions 1117 to 1382 of the family's 1533-position model. Lineage: Bacteria; Pseudomonadati; Pseudomonadota; Gammaproteobacteria; Oceanospirillales; Halomonadaceae. The record is from RNAcentral.
GCCAGCGAGUAAUGUCGGGAACUCUAAGGAGACUGCCGGUGACAAACCGGAGGAAGGUGGGGACGACGUCAAGUCAUCAUGGCCCUUACGGGUAGGGCUACACACGUGCUACAAUGGUCAGUACAAAGGGUUGCCAACUCGCGAGAGUGCGCUAAUCCCAUAAAGCUGAUCUCAGUCCGGAUCGGAGUCUGCAACUCGACUCCGUGAAGUCGGAAUCGCUAGUAAUCGUGAAUCAGAAUGUCACGGUGAAUACGUUCCCGGGCCUU